Molecule: long non-coding RNA, 358 nt
Organism: Hyaena hyaena (striped hyena)
Lineage: Eukaryota; Metazoa; Chordata; Mammalia; Carnivora; Hyaenidae
Exons: 3
Source: RefSeq, a predicted model, not a curated record
GAUGACAAAACAGAUGAACACAGAAAACCAUUCCUGACCUGCAUUUGGCUGAGACCUUCCCCAAUUCUUUAGAAAAAAGGAAAUGGAAGGUUGUGUAGAAACUACCCUGACUACUGUUCUUUUGGAUUCAUUCAGAUACAUAUGCAUUGAACAAAAUAUCUUUCAGGUUGUAGCUGGGCUGUUAAUACUGGAACUUCAGUUACAGCCUCAAGUUUGAACCCUGCUGAAACCGCGUCCUGGAGCCUACAAAAGGCUAAGAACUCCAGUACAAUGUUAAAUAGAAGUGAUGAGAAUGAGCAUCUUUACCUGGUCUCCAUCUUUGGAGAAAAGCCUUUGAUAUCAGCCUGUGAUAGCUUCA